Molecule: transfer RNA, 76 nt
Filed under: Ignavibacteria bacterium
Lineage: Bacteria; Pseudomonadati; Ignavibacteriota; Ignavibacteria
Also listed under: 3 other names
Description: tRNA-His
Rfam family: tRNA
About the family: Transfer RNA (tRNA) molecules are approximately 80 nucleotides in length. Their secondary structure includes four short double-helical elements and three loops (D, anti-codon, and T loops).
Source: RNAcentral
GCGGGCGUAGCUCAGUUGGUAGAGCCCCAGAUUGUGACUCUGGUUGUCGCGGGUUCAAGCCCCGUCGCUCGCCCCA